This 917-nucleotide ribosomal RNA is filed under the name uncultured archaeon. Its description in RNAcentral is "bacterial SSU rRNA". It matches the Rfam family "Archaeal small subunit ribosomal RNA", at positions 1 to 922 of the family's 1478-position model. The record is from RNAcentral.
UUUCCGGUUGAUCCUGCCGCCGGGCACCGCUAUUGGGGUUCGCUUAAGCCAUGCGAGUCGAGAGGGGUAAGCCCUCGGCGCACUGCUCAGUAACACGCGGACAAUCUGCCCUCGAGACGGGGAUAAUCCCGGGAAACUGGGGAUAAUACCCGAUAGGUCUGGGAUGAUGGAAGGCUCCCUGGCCAAAAUCUUCCGGGGCUCGAGGAUGGGUCUGCGGCCUAUCAGGUCGUAGGGGGUUUUACGGACCCCCUAGCCGAAGACGGGUACGGGCUUUGGGAGAAGUCGCCCGGAGAUGGAUUCUGAGACACGAAUCCAGGUCCUACGGGACGCAGCAGGCGCGAAACCUCCACAAUGUGGGCAACCACGAUGGGGGAACUCCAAGUGCUUACACUUUUGUGUAAGCUGUUCUCGAGCCUAAAAAGCUCGAGAAGUAAGGGCCGGGUAAGACGGGUGCCAGCCGCCGCGGUAAUACCCGCGGCCCGAGUGGUGCUCAUUAUUAUUGAGCCUAAAGCGUCCGUAGCUGGCCGGGCAAAUCUCCGGGUAAAUCGGGCCGCUCAACGGUCCGAAUUCCGGAGACACUGCUCGGCUUGGGAUCGGGAGAGGGUGAAGGUACUCCCGGGGUAGGGGUAGAAUCCUGUAAUCCUGGGGGGACCACCAGUGGCGAAGGCGUUCACCUAGAACGAAUCCGACAGUGAGGGACGAAGCCCUAGGGCGCAAACGGGAUUAGAUACCCCGGUAGUCUAGGGUGUAAACGCUGCAGACUUGGUGUUGGGGGUCCUGCGUGGGCUCCCAGUGCCGGAGCGAAGGUGUUGAGUCUGCCGCUUGGGGAGUACGGUCGCAAGACUGAAACUUAAAGGAAUUGGCGGGAGAGCACCGCAACGGGAGGAGCGUGCGGUUCAAUUGGAUUCAACGCCGGA